RNAcentral lists this ribosomal RNA (1077 nucleotides) under uncultured bacterium. RNAcentral describes it as "bacterial SSU rRNA". It matches the Rfam family "Bacterial small subunit ribosomal RNA", at positions 8 to 1083 of the family's 1533-position model. The record is from RNAcentral.
AGGGUUUGAUCAUGGCUCAGGAUGAACGCUAGCGGCAGGCUUAACACAUGCAAGUCGAGGGGCAGCGCGAUGUAGCAAUACAUUGGCGGCGACCGGCGCACGGGUGCGUAACACGUAUGGAACCUGCCCUGUACUGGAAGAUAACCCGGAGAAAUCCGGACUAAUAUUCCAUAAUAAACGAGGUGGCAUCACCUUGUUUUGAAAGCUCCGGCGGUACAGGAUGGUCAUGCGCACGAUUAGCUAGUUGGUGAGGUAACGGCUCACCAAGGCUACGAUCGUUAGGGGGCCUGAGAGGGUUAUCCCCCACACUGGUACUGAGACACGGACCAGACUCCUACGGGAGGCAGCAGUGAGGAAUAUUGCGCAAUGGAGGCAACUCUGACGCAGCCAUGCCGCGUGCAGGAAGAAGGCGCUACGCGUUGUAAACUGCUUUUAACCGGGAAGAAACCCCAGGACGUGUCCUGGGUUGACGGUACCGGAGGAAUAAGCACCGGCUAACUUCGUGCCAGCAGCCGCGGUAAUACGAAGGGUGCAAGCGUUAUCCGGAUUCAUUGGGUUUAAAGGGUGCGUAGGUGGGGCGUUAAGUCAGUGGUGAAAGCCCGCAGCUCAACUGUGGAAUUGCCAUUGAUACUGGCGCUCUUGAGUGCGCUUGAAGUAGGCGGAAUGUGCCGUGUAGCGGUGAAAUGCUUAGAUAUGGCACAGAACACCAAUUGCGAAGGCAGCUUACUAAGGCGAUACUGACGCUGAGGCACGAAAGCGUGGGGAUCAAACAGGAUUAGAUACCCUGGUAGUCCACGCCGUAAACGAUGAUCACUCGUGAUUGGCGAUAUACGGUCAGUCACCUAGCGAAAGCGUUAAGUGAUCCACCUGGGGAGUACGAUCGCAAGAUUGAAACUCAAAGGAAUUGACGGGGGCCCGCACAAGCGGUGGAGCAUGUGGUUUAAUUCGAUGAUACGCGAGGAACCUUACCAGGCUCGAACGUGCGUUGACAGUCGCGAAACGUGAUCUUCUUCGGACAACGUGCGAGGUGCUGCAUGGCUGUCGUCAGCCUCGUGGCCGUGGAGGGUGUCGGGUUAG